ACUCAAAGGAAUUGACGGGGGCCCGCACAAGCGGUGGAUCAUGUGGUUUAAUUCGAAGCAACGCGAAGAACCUUACCUGGGUUUGACAUCUCUGGACAUCCGUAGAGAUACGGCUUUCGUAGCAAUACGACCAGAAGACAGGUGCUGCAUGGCUGUCGUCAGCUCGUGUGGUGACAUGUUGGGUUAAGUCCCGCAACGAGCGCAACCCUUGUCCUUAGUUGCCAGCAUUCAGUUGGGCUCUCUAAGGAGACUGCCGUGGUUAACACGGAGGAAGGUGGGGAUGACGUCAAGUCCUCAUGGCCUUUAUAUCCAGGGCGACACACGUGAUACAAUGGACGGUACAGAGGGAUGCGAACCCGCGAGGGGGAGCCAAUCCCAAAAAGCCGUUCUCAGUUCGGAUUGGAGUCUGCAACUCGACUCCAUGAAGUUGGAAUCGCUAGUAAUCGCGGAUCAGCACGCCGCGGUGAAUACGUUCCCGGGCCUUGUACACACCGCCCGU
This 499-nucleotide ribosomal RNA is filed under the name uncultured bacterium. Its description in RNAcentral is "partial 16S ribosomal RNA". It matches the Rfam family "Bacterial small subunit ribosomal RNA", at positions 899 to 1397 of the family's 1533-position model. The record is from RNAcentral.